Molecule: non-coding RNA, 1681 nt
Organism: Meleagris gallopavo (turkey)
Lineage: Eukaryota; Metazoa; Chordata; Aves; Galliformes; Phasianidae
Source: RefSeq, a predicted model, not a curated record
AGAAUGGCCUGAGUUAAAAAGGACCACAAAGAUGAUCUAGUUUCAACCCCCUGCUAUGUGGAGGGUCACCAACCACUCAACCAGGCUGCCCAGAGGCACAUCCAGCCAGCUCUUGGCUGCUAGUGAUGCAGACCUUCAGCUGAUGUUGGUCAAUUUCAGAGGGAAGCAAUGAGACUGAAACUCCUGCGCCUUCAAACUACAUCUUUUCACUCUUUAACUACAAUAUGCCGAUGCCAAAGUUUUAAUAAAACUGGACAUCGUCUUCUAAAGCUGGAUAAUGAUGUUGACAGAACGGAUCACGGAACAGCUAAGAAGAUUGGGAACUCGUAUGCUCCAAAGAUUGCUUCCCCUUGUUUGACAAGUCCCUGUAUGCAAGUCAAGAAUUGGCAAAUGAUCCAAGGAAAUGUAUCUGCUUUGGGAAAAAGUGUUUAUUAUCAGGGUGGGGAGAUGUUUUUCCCACCCUGGAAACGUUUUGGCUUGGCAGCAAUGGAAAACUACACACUCAAUGUGGAGUAUAUUAAAAAGCUCGGGAACAUAUCGUCAAGAUUUUACUCGAUUGUAUCAACUAGUAAAAUUAUUCCAAAACCAAGUACCCAGCCAGUUAAAAGGCCACCAAAGGCACCAAGGACCAAGCAGCCCUCCAGAGCUAACCAGCCGCUAUUGUCAGACAUGGAGAAUCUGAUGCAGUGCACAGCCUUUGCAACAGCAGAUGAAUAUCAUCUUGGUAAUCUGUGUCAUGACCUGACUUCCCAUGGAUAUGUUGAAAUAACAAGUUUGCCCAGAGAUGCUGCGAACGUUUUAGUGAUGGGUACUGAGAAAUCCGCGAAAGAAGAUGAUCCUGGCAUGAUUUUUUUCUUCAGGGAAGGGGCUGUUGUGUUUUGGAAUGUGGAUGAGAAAAGUAUGAAGAAUAUAAUGCGAGUGCUGGAACAGCAUGAAAUUCAGCCAUAUGAAAUUGCAUUAGUCCACUGGGAAAACGAAGAGAUGAACUAUAGAAUAGGAGAAGGGCAAUCAAAGCUUCAUAAGGGAGAAAUCUUGUUAAAUUCUGAGCUGGAUACUGAUGAAGUCAUUCUGCAGAAAUUUGCCUUUUCAAAUGCCCUGUGUCUUUCUGUAAAACUGGCUAUUUGGGAAUCGUUAUUGGAUAACUUUGUGGAAUCUAUCCAGUCAAUUCCUGAGAUACUAAAAUCAAGAAGGAAGGUAAAACUAUCUCAUGCAGAUGUCAUGCAGAAAAUCGGAGAACUUUUUGCGUUAAGACACCGCAUAAAUCUGAGUUCAGACCUGCUAAUAACACCUGACUUCUACUGGGAUAGAGAAAAACUGGAAGAGCUUUAUGACAAAACAUGCCAAUUUCUCAAUAUUAAUCGCAGAGUUAAGUUUAGGUUAACAACCCUGCCUCAACCACCUAGACUUAAAUGGAUUCUGUACUUCCUGAGCCAUUAACUUAGGCUUUAAAUAGUUGUAAGAAGAGGAGCUUUAAUUCUUUUUCUGAAACGUGUGCAAGAAAACAAGUUUAAAAAAAAAAAAUGUGAUGUGAAGCAGUCUUCUUACUGAUGACAUGAUCACCCAGGUAAUGAAUGAAAAGCUUCAGCACUGCAUGGAGUUGACAGACCUAAUGCGAAACCACCUGAAUGAAAAGCAUGCUCUGCGCCUCGAGUGGAUGAUAGUAAUACUCAUCACCAUAGAG